AUCACUUCUUCAAACAGAAAAAAAACAGAAAAUGCCUCGAUCUGCUCCUGUGGCGUCGUCCAAGUGUCUGCAAGACCCCGGCAUUCAGAUUCAACCCGAAACAGCAUCAGUUACUUGAUGUUUUCAGCCUAAAUGUGAGGAUAACAGAGGACAUUUAGGCAUGUAAUGUUUUUUUCUGUUGCAUUUUUUUGUUUUAUUUUCCUGUUUGAAGAAUCAGUCGCCAGUUACUUCGAUUGAAUUGGAUUUGGCUGCAACGCUGUUUACCCCUGAAACUCCAAAAGUGAUUUGUGGACUCAAACACUUUAUCCACACAUCCAUCAGCAUAGUGUAGUUCCAUCACAGUAUCCGAGUGAAGCUACCUUGCAGCCGUCGUGAUGAAUUAUCUCGCUAUAGCAGCUCCUGUAAACUGAGAUGCCGCAGCAUCUGUCCAGAAUAUGACCGAGCCGAACAGGGGGAUGUUGAAGGAGAGCAGAUGACAUGCAGUCGCAACGAUUAGACACAGAGGGGCCAUAAUAGGGAAGAGGAGGCUGUCGUGGUGGUGGUGGUGGGGGGGACGCACAACUGCGGUGCAACUGCGGUGCAAAUAUGUUGAUUGUAUGUCACACUAAUUCCCAGGAUGUAUUGUCCAGCUGUUCUGCAGCGUCAGCACGGAAGAUUCAAGACUCAGACGCACACAGAAUGAGCAUCUUCAACUAAUGACAUUAUUUUGGUCUUAUAUGUAGAGAACAAAUACCUGAAAGAGGAGUAAAGAUGAUUUUUAUAGAUGUAGACAAAGUCAACAACAAUUUGUGCAAAGUUCAAAUUGUCAGAGCUAUUGGAAAAGCUCUGACAGGUGACACAACAUAAAUAAAUAGAGAUCACUUGUUAUUGAGAAAAAUAAAUAAAUUGAUUUAUAUAUGAAACCAUCCGCCAAUUUGUGUAGCUUAAUAAGCCACCAAACAAUUAGCAUUAAAGUUCAUUAAUUAAGAUGUUAUUUCUUGUUUUUUUUUAUCCGCACAAAAGGCAAAGUGUAAAAAUAACAAGCUGCUUUUUCCCCCUGUUUCCAGUCUUAUUGCUAGGAUACGCAAAUCAUCUGCUGGGCCCAUCUGCAUAUUCUCUGCUCAGAUGUGAGUGUUAUAUAUUUUAAUUUUUUAAUGAGUUGGUAGAUGCGUGUAUUUCUCCAAAUCCAAACUAUCGUGUGAAUAAAGGAUUGUGACAGUGACAUACAGCAUCUUCAGAUGUGUAAACGACAAUAGCUAAUAAAGGACAUACACACAGAGAUAGUUUAUUUGAACAUCUGCUCUGGGUUACACUUGUGGAGGAGGAUUCCUUUGAUUUUUAAAGCAUCAGGAUGCUUGGCAAGUGUCCUCAGACAAAAGUCUAAGCCCGUCCCCAUGAUGAGACUUGGGUCCUGUUGCGGAGAGUGAUGUGGUUCGACUGUGGUUGGAUGGCUGGCCGGUUGGCCGGUCAGGCUACACUGGAAUGCAGUCUCUUUUGUUUGUC
Platichthys flesus (European flounder) is the source of this 1482-nucleotide long non-coding RNA. RefSeq lists it as uncharacterized. The transcript has 3 exons. The record is from RefSeq and is a predicted model, not a curated record. Lineage: Eukaryota; Metazoa; Chordata; Actinopteri; Pleuronectiformes; Pleuronectidae.